Limulus polyphemus (Atlantic horseshoe crab) is the source of this 1133-nucleotide long non-coding RNA. RefSeq lists it as uncharacterized. Lineage: Eukaryota; Metazoa; Arthropoda; Merostomata; Xiphosura; Limulidae. The record is from RefSeq and is a predicted model, not a curated record. The transcript has 2 exons.
CCUUACAGUUGUAAAGUGUGUGGAAAACAGUUUAGAUGGAAGAGUCAAUUAAAACUACAUGAUAGAAUACACACUGGAGAGAAACCUUAUAGUUGUACAGUGUGUGAAAAACAGUUUGGAAAAAACAUGAAUUAAAAAUACAUGAAAGAAAACACACUGGGAAGAAACCUUAUAGUUGUACAGUGUGUGAAAAACAGUUUGCAACAAAGUAUAGCUUAAAAAUACACACUGGAGUGAAACCUUACAGUUGUAUAGUGUGUGAAAAACGGUUUUGUGAAAAUUAUCAUUUAAAAGAACAUGGAAGAUUACAUAGUGGGGAGAAACCUUACAGUUGUACAGUGUGUAGAAAACAGUUUAGACUGAAGAAGCAAUUAAAAGUACAUGAAAGAAUACACAGUGGGGAGAAACAUUACAACUGUACAGAUUGCACAAACAGUUUGUAACAAAGAGUGCUUUAAAAAUACAUGAAAGUACACACACUGAGGAAAAACUGUAUUAUCUGCUUGGGAAAAAAGGAGAAUCCUUAUAGUUGUACAAUGUGUGAAAAAGACUGAAUAAAGUAGUUCCUUAACAUAUGAAUGUAUACAAAAUUAAUAGAAACCCUGAAGUUGUGAGUUUUGUAGAAAGCUAUUUCAUAAUAACUCUUAACUUAACAAAACAUGAAGGGAAUAUAUACUGGGGUGAGACCUUACAGUUGUGUAGUACGUAAUAAAGAGUUUAGAAGAAAUAGUGUUUUAAAAUAUCAUAAAGGAAUACAUACUGUAGAGAUAACUUACAGUUUUUCAGUUUAUUGAAAAAGUUUGCAACAAAAGAUAGAUUAAAAAUACUUGAUAGAAAACAUACUGUUGUCUUGUGUGUUGUGAAUAACUUAUAACAAACAGUAACUACUAUUGAAUGUGGUAGUUGUUUAUAAGUUGUUGAACCACAAGAGACAGGAUUAAAGUGUACAGAUCUAUCUUUGGUGUGUUUUUGAUGUCUGUAAUUUGGAAUUAUUCUGUGUUAGUGUUGAUAACAACAGAAAAUUUAACAAAUCAUUAGAACCAGUAUCUGUAUAUUAAUAUUCCAGUACAUACUGAGAAUGUGCUGCUAUGAUUGAUUUUCAUGGAUUUGAAUAAACACUUACAGACUUCUGG